RNAcentral lists this transfer RNA (779 nucleotides) under Bradyrhizobium sp. 05LoS16R3_25. RNAcentral describes it as "16S-23S ribosomal RNA intergenic spacer". The stretch from base 189 to 262 matches the Rfam family "tRNA". The record is from RNAcentral. Lineage: Bacteria; Pseudomonadati; Pseudomonadota; Alphaproteobacteria; Hyphomicrobiales; Nitrobacteraceae. RNAcentral also lists the same sequence under 2 other names.
CUAAGGAUGGUUCUUCAGAAGCUUGCUUCUAUCGAACCGUUUUAGAAACAUCAGUGGCCAACGGUCGUCAGGAUCGUUGAGCUGCAUUGGCGGGAUUUCGCCGUCUUCGUUUCUCUUUCUUCGCGGACGAACACGCGCUGGGGCUGCAACCUUGCAGAAUCCCUGGUCCUUGACUGGAUAUGCGUUAGGGGCUUGUAGCUCAGUUGGUUAGAGCGCGCGCUUGAUAAGCGUGAGGUCGGAAGUUCAAGUCUUCCCAGGCCCACCACACUCAUCGAGUGAGCAUUCGUCUUCUGGUUACGGGGCCAUAGCUCAGCUGGGAGAGCGCGUGCUUUGCAAGCAUGAGGUCGUCGGUUCGAUCCCGUCUGGCUCCACCAGAUGGUUUGAUCACCGACUACUCAUACCGUCGUCCGCGAAACAUCACUUCGCACUUACUAGUCCGGAUGGACAGUAAGCUGCGUGAUUUCUGACAUCGUAAAGAGGAGAUCGAUCCGAGUUGGAUCGGGCAACAAGUAAUUGUUGCGCGAUACUCCAUUAUCUCCGGAUCAUUUCGGCGCUCGUGCGUCUUUUAGCGUAGCUCACAAGGCUGCAUUGAAAGACAAGCGAGUUGUAAAUGAUCCUUUUAGCGAAGCUUGACCGCCUCGCUAUCGGAACGAUCUUACGAAGCAAGCUGGUCUUUCUAAUCAUUGUCCGGCUGCAGAUAGCGUUCAUCGAGGGCGCGUGCCGCAAGGUAAUUCUGCAGACAACAUUCUGCCGAGUGUGUGGACAUUGAUAAUGAGAGC